GUGCCAGCCGCCGCGGUAAUACGUAGGCAGCGAGCGUUGUUCGGAAUUACUGGGCGUAAAGAGUGUGUAGGCGGUGUUCCAAGUCUGGUGUGAAAUCUCCCGGCUUAACUGGGAGGGUGCGCCGGAAACUGGAAUGCUCGAGGGUGGGAGAGGUAAGCGGAAUUCCUGGUGUAGCGGUGAAAUGCGUAGAUAUCAGGAGGAACACCGAUGUCGAAGGCAGGUCUCUGGGCUAACACUGACGCUCAUGCACGAAAGCGUGGGGAGCAAACAGGAUUAGAUACCCGGGUAGUCC
RNAcentral lists this ribosomal RNA (292 nucleotides) under uncultured bacterium. Its description in RNAcentral is "partial 16S ribosomal RNA". It matches the Rfam family "Bacterial small subunit ribosomal RNA", at positions 505 to 796 of the family's 1533-position model. The record is from RNAcentral.